UAUAGAGGUGCUUUCUUGUAUUCUAAUAUUAACUUUUAUCAUUGGGUAAUGUGUAACAACACACUUUGGAAGCAAACACUAAUGGGUGUUUUAGCUUACCCGGUUUUCAUCCCGGUCCUAUUAAGAUCCGGGUUGUAUCUUCCUUGUGAAAUAAUGUUUCACUACCUUUUUUUUCCUAACGUUAAUCAUUGGAUCGCACAAUAACUGCAUCGGGAUCUCUGCAGACAUAUAGAAGCAAGAGGUUGGAGUGCUUUGAGAUCUAUAUAAGGUACGAUCUAAUGGUUGACGUAGCAAAAGAAGAUCAAUCAUUCUUUCAUGUGUGGGUUGUUUUUCCUCGUACAGCCAACUAUGUGGCCUUCAAUCAAGUGUGUGGGUUGUUUGGUUAUAGAGAGCGUGGGAAGCACAAGUUUUGGGCCACUACAGGUUACAAUAUAAAAGCUUUUCCAAUGAAUCCAGAGAUGGAACGAAAAGCAUUGCCG
This 479-nucleotide long non-coding RNA is filed under the name Phoenix dactylifera (date palm). RNAcentral's name for it is "long non-coding RNA (PDAC_LNC022522)". The record is from RNAcentral. Lineage: Eukaryota; Viridiplantae; Streptophyta; Magnoliopsida; Arecales; Arecaceae.